RNAcentral lists this non-coding RNA (44 nucleotides) under Trypanosoma brucei brucei. The record is from RNAcentral. Lineage: Eukaryota; Euglenozoa; Kinetoplastea; Trypanosomatida; Trypanosomatidae.
ACAUAAUAAACAAUGAGAUAUAUAAGGUGAAUCGAAAGUGAAAU